Molecule: long non-coding RNA, 837 nt
Organism: Passer domesticus (house sparrow)
Lineage: Eukaryota; Metazoa; Chordata; Aves; Passeriformes; Passeridae
Exons: 2
Source: RefSeq, a predicted model, not a curated record
UGAAUCAAGGAUGCCUUCCCGGGAGAGAGGAGACAUCUGCUGUUGAGUCACAAAGAGUGGCUUCCCCUGGAAAAAAAAAGCAGCAACAGCAGAUGGAGUCUCAGACAACAAUGAAAAGCCUCAAAUCAAUAACAGAUGUAUAGAGCAGAUAAUAUAUAUCCAUUUUAAAAUCACUACUUCAGAAAUUAGGCAAAUGAUACAGAAGUGUGAGGUCUUCUCAUGGUACAAACAACUGAAGAAAUCAGCAUCAACAAUAGCUCUGGAAGGAAAAGCUGUUGGAUCUCAGAUGAUAAAAAAGCAGCCCCUUAGCUAAAUUCAUCUUGGGACAGACCCACAGCUGCUUCACUCAAGAAAAAACUGAAGAUUACAGGGCACAGAAAGCCAUAUUCCAUCUUUAUGUGGAAAAAUCCAUCAGGCUAAAAUAUCAGCAAGUGCACAAAACAUUAGACCAAUUACUAGCCACUGAAUUUCGUGCAAACCAGGUACACUUUGAACUUCACUUAGUUACCCCUUUCUUUUACCCCAAAGAAUGACACAGGCAUGGUUUCAGUGCCCAAAAAAGCAAAGCUGUAUUUUGAGAUCCUGGGGAUGGACAAGGAAAAACUGAGAUCAGCUGCUCCCAGGCCAGUGUCCUUCACCUGAAAGAGCAGAUUUAGCCGAGACACUCGGCUGGUGAUGGGCUCCAUUGGUCCUGCCUCGACUGGAUUUCGGGCUCCACAUUUAAACUUCAACAUCUUUACAACUUAUCUCAUAGAAACCAGCACCUGAAAAAGGGAACAGCGACAUUCAGGAAGCACUUGGCUGGCUGACUCCAAGUAAAAAAUAUGGAUGAGAGGA